Small nuclear RNA from Hippopotamus amphibius kiboko, 110 nucleotides. Lineage: Eukaryota; Metazoa; Chordata; Mammalia; Artiodactyla; Hippopotamidae. The record is from RefSeq and is a predicted model, not a curated record.
GUACUCACUUCGGCAGCACAUAUACUGAAACUGGAACAAUACAGAGAAGAUUAGCAUGGCCCCGUGCAAGGAUGACACACAAAUUCUUAUAUUUUAAGUUCCAUAUAUUU